GAUGAAGAACGUAGCGAAAUGCGAUAAGUAAUGUGAAUUGCAGAAUUCAGUGAAUCAUCGAAUCUUUGAACGCACCUUGCACCCUUUGGCAUUCCGAAGGGUAUGCUCGUUUGAGUGUCAUUGUACUCUCACACUUCCAAUCUUUGGAUUGGGGGCGGUGGACUUGGGUGUUGCUGCUUACUGUGGCUCACCUCAAAUUGAUUCGUGCACCUCUUGGUUGGACAUAGUACGGCGUGAUAAGUGUCUUCGCCGGCACCUCAGUAGAGGGUGGCUGAUCGGGAGCUCUGUGCUUCAGACCGUCCUCGGACAACAACUGACAACUUGACCUCAAAUCGAGUAGGACUACCCGCUGAACUUAAGCAUAUCAAUAAGCGGAGGA
This 379-nucleotide unclassified non-coding RNA is filed under the name soil metagenome. RNAcentral describes it as "partial contains 5.8S ribosomal RNA, internal transcribed spacer 2, and large subunit ribosomal RNA". The stretch from base 1 to 120 matches the Rfam family "5.8S ribosomal RNA", at positions 35 to 154 of the family's 154-position model. The record is from RNAcentral.